AUUGAACGCUGGCGGCAGGCCUAACACAUGCAAGUCGGACGGUAGCACAGAGAGCUUGCUCUCGGGUGGCGAGUGGCGGACGGGUGAGUAAUGUCUGGGGAUCUGCCCGAUAGAGGGGGAUAACCACUGGAAACGGUGGCUAAUACCGCAUAACGUCGCAAGACCAAAGAGGGGGACCUUCGGGCCUCUCACUAUCGGAUGAACCCAGAUGGGAUUAGCUAGUAGGCGGGGUAACGGCCCACCUAGGCGACGAUCCCUAGCUGGUCUGAGAGGAUGACCAUCCACACUGGAACUGAGCCACGGUCCAGACUCCUACGGGAGGCAGCAGUGGGGAAUAUUGCACAAUGGGCGCAAGCCUGAUGCAGCCAUGCCGCGUGUAUGAAGAAGGCCUUCGGGUUGUAAAGUACUUGCAGCGGGGAGGAAGGCGAUGUGGUUAAUAACCGCAUUGAUUGACGUUACCCGCAGAAGAAGCCCCGGCAAACUUCGUGCCAGCCGCCGCCGUAA
Molecule: ribosomal RNA, 504 nt
Filed under: uncultured bacterium
Lineage: Bacteria
Description: partial 16S ribosomal RNA
Rfam family: Bacterial small subunit ribosomal RNA
Source: RNAcentral